This 955-nucleotide long non-coding RNA is filed under the name Marmota monax (woodchuck). Lineage: Eukaryota; Metazoa; Chordata; Mammalia; Rodentia; Sciuridae. The record is from RNAcentral.
CGGGGGUGGUCCUGAGACGCUUGGCCCCGCGACUGUGAGCCAAGUCGUGUGGAGAUCAGAGAAGGGAGGAAUGAGCUGGAGGCCUGGGUCCCCUCCCCAUCAAAGGGGCUGUGCCUUGGGGUACCCAUCUAUUUUUGGUUGGGGCGAUGUUCGCCUCCAGGUUCCCCGUGUGUCCACAUCUGUGACUAGGUGGGUAUCUGGUCACACCCUUGCUCUGUAUGCACACUGCCAACAAUAUGGAUGCCCAGGUACCAGAGAGGUCAUGCAGUGUGUCCCCCUGCAUCCAGACUAAAAAUACAUUUAUCCCUUCAUUCUUGCUUCCAUUUGGAUGUUUUUAAAGCCCUCCUGAGGAGUGACCAGUGUGCCUGUAUGCAUUAAUAUCCCCCCCCCUUUUAAAAUCUGCUUUGUAUGUAUACAUGGUGUUUCUAGGCCACCAGAGGUGUGUGUGUACAGAGACUGUGCAUAUAAUACACAGGCCGUUUCUUGUGAGGCCUUUCUUCCUAGACUUCACACGGAGAGGAAGGAGGGGACAUUGUGGGGGGCCGGCAGAGAGCCCAAGUGCCGGCCGCACGUGGGUGCACCCUGGCACUGAGCAUGCUCCCUCAUACACGUGUGCCUCUUGUGGCCCUAGCCCCCAUCCCUGCAGCAGCAAAAGGCCAGUGCUUUCUGCUUGUGGGGAGAAGGCAGAGGUGCCCAAGACGAGGCCUGGGGGCCAGCUCAGUGGUGACACAACUAAGGAAGAGCUUCCCCCGCCCCCUCCCCGCCCCCGAGCCAAGGGACUCCUGCUCGAUAACAGGGCAGGGGUUGGGGGGAGUCUUUGGGCAUGGUUCCCGAGUGGGUCGAUUUAUCCCAGCGGUGCCAGAGCAGCAGUGACUUGUAGGUGGGCAGACUCCUUCCCUAGGGAAGACAAGUAAUGCUUAUGAGUCACACCACCCGAAAUACAUGCAAAGCUGCC